Molecule: long non-coding RNA, 401 nt
Organism: Xenia sp. Carnegie-2017
Lineage: Eukaryota; Metazoa; Cnidaria; Anthozoa; Malacalcyonacea; Xeniidae
Exons: 3
Source: RefSeq, a predicted model, not a curated record
UUGUAGAUCACAAAAAUGAAAACUGCGUACAACAGCGUCGUUGUGAUUUGCUUUUUUGGCUUUCUUGUUUGGUUUAGCCUUAAUUCAAGAAGAAAACUGAUGAUAAAAGGUCCACCAUCGCUUACAGUCAACCAUCAAAGGAUUCUUGACGAAGUAUUUGCUACUAUAGCGAGCACUAAAGACAUCAUAUGGUGAAAGAUUAUCGGAAUGUAAUCUGCGAUGAGGAGAUUCGUUAUAUCUUUCCACAAUUAAAUGUAUUUUUUCCCAUUCAGAAAGAUAUGCUUGUGCUCGUUUUAAAUUUUGUUCCAUAGUAUAUCAAUAAAGUUAAGAGAAAACAGCAAAAAGAACACACUUAUAUAUAAAAUAAAAUGGGUAAAAGUGAAAUAGGUAAAAUUUAUGAA